Molecule: ribosomal RNA, 684 nt
Filed under: uncultured bacterium
Lineage: Bacteria
Description: bacterial SSU rRNA
Rfam family: Bacterial small subunit ribosomal RNA
Source: RNAcentral
UUGCAAGUCAGAUGUGAAAGCCUUCUGUUCAACGGAAGAAUUGCAUCUGAAACUGCUAAUCUUGAGUAUAGGAGGGGAGAAUGGAACUUCUGGUGGAGCGGUGAAAUGCGUAGAUAUCAGAAGGAACGCCGGCGGCGAAAGCGAUUCUCUGGCCUAUUACUGACACUCAGUGUGCGAAAGCUAGGGGAGCAAACGGGAUUAGAUACCCCGGUAGUCCUAGCUGUAAACGAUGGGCGCUAAGUAGAGGGGAUUACCUAUAUACUCUCUGCCGUAGCUAACGCAUUAAGUGCCCCGCCUGGGGGGUACGGCCGCAAGGCUAAAACUCAAAAGAAUUGACGGGGGCUCGCACAAGCGGUGGAGCAUGUGGCUUAAUUCGGUGCAACGCGAAAAACCUUACCGGGGCUUGACAUGAUAGAAGUAGGAACCUGAAAGGGGGACGAACGGUAUCCAGUCCGUAGCUAUUACAGGUGUUGCAUGGCUGUCGUCAGCUCGUGUCGUGAGACGUUGGGUUAAGUCCCCUAACGAGCGAAACCCUUGUUUUUAGUUACCAGCGGGUUAUGCCGGGUACUCUAGAAAGACUGCCGUCGUCAAGACGGAGGAAGGUGGGGAUGACGUCAAGUCAUCAUGGCCCUUAUGCCCCGGGCUGCACACGUGCUACAAUGGUCGGUACAGACGGAAGCGAAG